CAGUUCGGACUGUAGUCUGNAACCCGACUACACGAAGCUGGAAUCGCUAGUAAUCGCGAAUCAGAAUGUCGCGGUGAAUACGUUCCCGGGUCUUGUACACACCGCCCGUCACACCAUGGGAGUCGGGAAUGCCCGAAGUCAGUGGCCCAACCUAUAGGAGGGAGCUGCCGAAGGCAGGUCUGAUAACUGGGGUGAAGUCGUAACAAGGUACC
This 212-nucleotide ribosomal RNA is filed under the name uncultured bacterium. Its description in RNAcentral is "partial 16S ribosomal RNA". It matches the Rfam family "Bacterial small subunit ribosomal RNA", at positions 1289 to 1500 of the family's 1533-position model. The record is from RNAcentral.